RNAcentral lists this small nuclear RNA (107 nucleotides) under Echinops telfairi (small Madagascar hedgehog). Lineage: Eukaryota; Metazoa; Chordata; Mammalia; Afrosoricida; Tenrecidae. The record is from RNAcentral.
GUGCUUUCUUUGGCAGCAUAUAGACUAAAAUUGGAACUAUACGGGGAAAUUUAACAUGGCUCCUGUGCAAGGAUAACACACAAAUUCGCGGAGCAGAAAAAAAGCAU